GGGGUUGUGGCUCAGUGGUAGACUGCUCACCUGGCAUGCAUGAGGAACUGAGUUUGAUCCUCAGCACCACA
RNAcentral lists this transfer RNA (71 nucleotides) under Marmota monax (woodchuck). Its description in RNAcentral is "tRNA.Ala". The record is from RNAcentral. Lineage: Eukaryota; Metazoa; Chordata; Mammalia; Rodentia; Sciuridae.